AAGUCUAUACUUUCAGGGAUCAUUUCUAUGGGGUCUAACUAGGAUAUGUGAUUUGAAAGUGUUAUGUCUCUCUGAUCACGAUGACGAGGUCUGAUGUGUUUUUCCAAGUACAAUUCAGAUUGCAGCAGGUGAUUCUUUCAUGAGCUUUAAUCAUUGAUGAAUGUUCUUCACUUUUUAGAAAGUGUGAGAGGAAGAGUACAUGAUCAGAGUGAU
Molecule: small nucleolar RNA, 213 nt
Organism: Pangasianodon hypophthalmus (striped catfish)
Lineage: Eukaryota; Metazoa; Chordata; Actinopteri; Siluriformes; Pangasiidae
Product: small nucleolar RNA U3
Exons: 1
Source: RefSeq, a predicted model, not a curated record